RNAcentral lists this ribosomal RNA (497 nucleotides) under uncultured bacterium. RNAcentral describes it as "partial 16S ribosomal RNA". It matches the Rfam family "Bacterial small subunit ribosomal RNA", at positions 28 to 507 of the family's 1533-position model. The record is from RNAcentral.
GACGAACGCUGGCGGCGUGCCUAAUACAUGCAAGUUGAGCGCUGAAGGUUGGUACUUGUACCAACUGGAUGAGCAGCGAACGGGUGAGUAACGCGUGGGGAAUCUGCCUUUGAGCGGGGGACAACAUUUGGAAACGAAUGCUAAUACUGCAUAAAAACUUUAAACACAAGUUUUAAGUUUGAAAGAUGCAAUUGCAUCACUCAAAGAUGAUCCCGCGUUGUAUUAGCUAGUUGGUGAGGUAAAGGCUCACCAAGGCGAUGAUACAUAGCCGACCUGAGAGGGUGAUCGGCCACAUUGGGACUGAGACACGGCCCAAACGCCUACGGGAGGCAGCAGUAGGGAAUCUUCGGCAAUGGACGAAAGUCUGACCGAGCAACGCCGCGUGAGUGAAGAAGGUUGUCGGAUCGUAAAACUCUGUUGGUAGAGAAGAACGUUGGUGAGAGUGGAAAGCUCAUCAAGUGACGGUAACUACACAGAAAGGGACGGCUAACUACGUG